This 5844-nucleotide long non-coding RNA is filed under the name Mytilus galloprovincialis (Mediterranean mussel). Lineage: Eukaryota; Metazoa; Mollusca; Bivalvia; Mytilida; Mytilidae. The record is from RNAcentral.
UUUAUCUUCCUGUUGGGCGGAUUAUAAAACAGAAAUAAAUACACACUGAUUCUAUCCACUUGAGUGACGGAAUUGGUAAGAUAUCAAAAAAUAUUUUUAUUGAGCAAAUCGGUCAUAUCUUAUAAUAAGAUUACAUUGUUUAUUUGUUUUGUUAUGAAAACAUUUGCCCAAGUUCCAAUGCAAGAGAGAUAAUCAUAAUCUAAACCAAAACACAUUUCACUCUGUCAUAUAUCGUGCAAUUGCCACUGGGGUAAAGCUGAUGACCGUAACUGCAUUCACGGUCAUCCCAAGAUGUCGGAUGAAAAAUUAGGUCCGUAUCUGUUAAAAGGUUCACACCGAAAUCACAAAUAACUACCGAGAAAUGUUCAUGAAACAGGAAAUUCAAUUUGUAAAAAUCGCUAAGAUGACCGUAAAUCAUUAUCAAAAUAUUUUCAAGAUGACCGUGUUUGGUAAACAGAUGACCGUAACUUGUAAAGGAUGACCGUUAUUUGUAAAGAAUGACUGUAAUUUAAAAAGGAUGAUCGUAUCUGUCAAAGGACCAUAAUUCUAAAAAUAUCCGUAAUUGUAUUCAUAGCUUUUUGUUGUGUUUGUCUCAAUAUGGGCUCGGUUAGCAGAUAUAAACAUGUUUCAUCAAUUUCUUUUUAACUAUUUGCCGUAGUUUGAGAUCAUGACAAUGAUAGUAAAUUGCAUAUUUCUCGUAAACAAUGAAAUAUUUAUUGGUUAUACGACAGAAAUAUUUUAUUGGUAACGACUUUAAAAUGUUAAUACAAAUUGACAGAGAUAAGACGAAAAGUUGAAGAGACUAGAAUGGGUCCCUAGUACACGCAUGCCUCAUCUACACUUUAAUUUUCUAUGUUCAGUGAACCGUUAAAAUGGAGGAAAACCUGUAAUUUGGCAUUAUGACGAACGGCAAAACGGAUGCACAGACCAGAAAACAUAAUAACCAUAAAUGGAGCAUAAAAACAUUAAUCAAACAUAUGAAUAUAGUGGCGGAUCCCAGGAAGGGGGGCCUUGGAACCCCCUUUUUAUUUACCGAUCAAUGCAUUUGAAUAGGGACAUAUAGUUUGAACCCCCCCGUUUUACCCUGGGUUGGGACCCCCUUUUCUUAAAUGGCUGAAUCCGUCCCUGCCCCUUGUGAUACGUUAUACGUACAAGACUAUUUUAAGGAUCUAUUUUUCUUGAGCUUACCUUCACUAGUUUGGUCGAAGUAUUUUAAAAACCAUGAAAACAGGUUCUGUGUUUUUACUUGCAAGACAAAAUAGAAAACCAAUCAAAGACGAUAUAAUAUCAAUGGGUUUACAUCCAUUAGCAUUUUUAAAAAAGUGUAUUUAUUAUAUGUCAUAACAAGGAAUUCCAGAAAUAAAAAAAAAUCUUUUGGCUUUUAGCUGGAGACUGUGCAGCACAAUUUUUAUUUUACUUUACGUUGUUGCAUGUUUCCCCACUUUUGUGCAUGUCUUGUAUGUUCAUUUUAAGAAUUAUAUCCUCUACCGUAAAAAAGAUAUAUAUGGUGAACUAUGUAUUAAAAGCAAGUCUUAUUUUCUUCUACCUGUAGGAUAAUACUCUCAUAUAAAUACUUUUUAUGCCAACACCAUUAAUCAUUUGAUACAAAAAGGUAGUUAUACAAAUACGGAUAUUUCUUAGAAUUGACGAUCAUCCUUUAAAAGUUACAGUCAUCUUUUAACCAAUUACGGUCACCCUUGUUAUGAAUGGUUGAAUCUGUUACGGUCAUCUCGAUUAUGAUUUACGGUCAUCUUAGCGAUUUUUUCAAAUCGAAUUUCCUGUUUCAUGCACAUUUCUCGGAAGUUAUUUGUGAUUUCCGUGUGAAUCUUUUAUUAAUUUACAUCGUAUCAAUGUCUCCCUUGUAAAGAAAAAGAUAUAGAAACACUGUAACAGACAAUACAGAAACUGACCUAUUUUUUCAUCCGACAUUAUGGGAUGACCGUGAUUGCAGUUACGGUCAUCAGCUUUACCCCCGUGAAUUGUACACAUACACAAUAAAUACAUGUAUAUAUAUAUAAAGCGUAGACUUUAAGGACCGAAUGUAUAAAAUGUACAAUGUGAUCUUCAAUCCUGAAAAAAUUGCAUUACCAUAUACAGAGUGUAAUCAUGCCACACACUUCAUGAAAGCAUAACUAACAAGUCGGGUUUUAAUAAACCGCAUCAUAUAUCAAAAACUCAGUACUUUACGCUGCAUGUACUGAUGCAUUUGACCAAGUCUGAUAAUUCAUUUUAUUUGAUUAAACAGACAGUCUUAAAUUUAAGUUAAAUAUAAUCGAUAUUUUGUGAAUAUUUUAAAUAAAUUUUAAGUUUUCGGUUAAACGUUUCGUAGAAGUAGAUUUAGUAUAUGCGUGAUACAAAAUAAAUUUUAAAAUUAAGAAAAUAUAAUUGUUUAAUUCGUAAAAGUAGAUUUAUUAUACAUGUUAUAUGUUUAAUACAAAAUAAAUCUAAAAUUUAAGAAAAGUCAACUGUUCAAUUAAACUACCCAUAAAAGUAGAUUUAUAAUAGGUAUAAUACAAAAUAAAUAGAAAUUUAGUCAAAUAUAAAUGUAUGAUUACACCACUGAUAAAACAAGAUUUAUUACAUGUUUAAUAAUCAAAUAAAUCUAAAAUUAAACCAAAACAAUAUGCUGAAUUAAACCACUCGUAAAAGUAUAUGUAUUGCCUUUAAAAAAAAAUAAACACUUUAUACAAUAACAUUUUUUUCAAUUAAAUCUUUCAUAAAUGUAGAUGUAUUCCUAUAAUGUAAAAAAAACUGUACUAUCAAUUAAUUCCACUCUUCAACUCUCAAAUUGUUUUUACCUGUUUUAUGUAACUCUGUUAUUUUUACAUUCCAACCUUUCAUUUGUAACACCGCCACCACCCGACAAUUACACGUUUAUUAUCGGGCAUUCAACUCUGCAAAAAAAUUUAAAACUACACGUUUUAAAUUGCUUCUGGACCAUUUUUCUUGAUCCACCUUCACCAGGUAAGCUCAAAGCCAAAUAUUUCACGACAAUAUAUAACAAAAAAUGGCCUAGAAAUAGCCAAAUAUAUCUUAAAUCAACUUAGCCUGAAGGAGAUAUUUUUAAACGGAUUAUUUUAUUACGGUCUUUUAUAAAGCAUUUCAAUGGUAUCCCAUCAUGCUGAAAAAAAAAUAAAAUAACACGUUUUAAGACUUCCGAAGCGCUUUUCUGGAUUAACCUUUACUCAGAAUGCUCUAAGCCGAGUACUUGUGAGACAAAUAAGAAUAAAAACAAAUCAUAUGAAGAACUGGAACAGGGUCUAAAAAAUAGCCAAUCUUAUCUAUGGCAACUUUGGCUGAGGGAGUUGAAACUUUAGUUUGUUUUAAACUUCGAUUACAAAUCAUGUCAGUACUGAAGUACUGAAAUACCGGAAUACUGAUUACUUGGCUGAUGAUAACAUCGAAGCAUCCCAAGUGUUGUAAAACAUGUAUAGCCACAUGUUAUGAAUUUGAUGCACCUUUAUUUAUUGUAAUUCAAAAUAUGAUCAUUGUUUUCUGUACUUGCAACAGUGAGAAUUUGUGCUAUAAACUUUCUCUAAAUUUGUAAUCGCAUAGGUUGAACUUAUUGACAACACAUCAUUUAUCAUGUUACUAAGAAUAAAAUCGGACUAUAUUCACGAUAAAAGUUAAAAAAAACGAAACUUAUGGUCAUACAGAACAAAAAUCAAGACCUACAAGAUAAUUUUCAUUCCAUUUUUUAGAAAAAAAUGUAAUGUAAUAGUGAAUUGUGCCAACUGUAUAUAAGUAAGGAGGUCAAAGUAAAUAAAACACAACAUAUUUCAUGUCGCGGAUGACAUUUCUAUAAAGAAAUAUAUAUGUGCCGAGAAAUAUUUGUCAGUAGCUAUUUGUCAUUGCUAGAGGCCUGUGUUCCGGUUAAAAGCAUCUUUUUGCAAAGUACAGUUGUAAAUAGUGAUGGCAUAACUAUAUCUAAAUAAAUUCCUUUUAUUUUUAGUUGUAUUUACCAUGGCAUCAUCAAUACCUCCUUGCGGUCCAUGUGAUAUCCAGCAUAUCACCAAACCAUCUAUAGUCUGGUGCACAGAAUGUGAAGAAGGUUUAUGUCCACAAUGCCUAAAACAUCAUACUGCUUCUAAAGCAUCGCGAAAUCAUGAUACCAUGCCGAUAACCGAAUAUCAGGAAUUACCAAGUGAUGUUAAAAAAUUCACCGAAAACUGUGAUAAACAUAAUGAGAAGUACACAAUUUACUGUAGAAAGCAUGAAUGUCCCUGCUGUGGUGGUUGUGUCGUAGAAGAUCACCUCGAUUGCAAAGACUUCGUCAGAUUAACCAACAUCAUCGACAAAGCCAAAACAUCGGAGUCUUUAAAUGAAAUUGAACAGUCGUUAUCAGAAAUGGCAGAAAAUAUAGAGAGAAUUCGUCAGAAUCGAGAAAACAACAUAAAGACAAUAUCCGAGAAAAAGCAGCAUAUUGAAAAGGAAAUCAAGGAAACACGGGCCAAAAUCAACAACCAUUUGGACAAAAUACAGGAUGCCAUAAUAGAAGCAUUGAAUACAGUUGAAAAAAAAGAAACAGACCAAAUAAGACAAUUGAUUGCCUUAUUAGAUGGAAAGAGAGCCGAAAUUUCAGAACACCAAAAAAAUGUAAAAACAAUUAAACAACACGCAACAGAUUUUCAGAUGUUUUUCUCUAUAAACCAAUUUGAAAAUGAAGUUUCCUGCAAUGAUAAAUUCCUACAAUCUUUAGUCGACAGAGACAACUUACAAAAUAUAGAAUUGUCAUUUCAUCCCAGUGCCGUCUUACACAAAUUCGUAACAGAUAUCCAGGAAUUUGGAGACGUCAAGAUUGAGAGGAAAUCAUAUGAUGUAAUCCUAUCAAGGAAGAAAAACAAACAAGCCCAAUUGUUGGUACCACGCGUCUCAAGUAAGUCAGUCGAAGAUAUCAAUAUAAAGCUGCAAAAAACUGUGGAUAUCAAGGGAUGUAAUACCACGGGUUGUUGUUUGUUACCAGAUGGAAGAAUGGCGUUUACGUUUUAUGAUUCGAAUAUUGUCAAAAUAUUCAAAACUGACGGCUCAAAAGAUUUUGAAGUUCAAACACCAACACUUGCAUUUGACAUAGCGUACAUCAUUGAGGACAACACACUAGCUGUAACAUCCGGAGAGUCAGGGAGACAAAGCAUAACAAUUAUCGACAUACAAAACAAAAAUAUAAAGAAAGAAAUACCACUUCAUAGUUAUUCUUAUGGCAUAACGGUGAAAGAUAAACAAUUGAUUUGUUCUGUAUUUGUAAAAGGAAUACACUUGAUCGAUCCGGCUAACAACUCAACAAAUGAAAUAGUCUGCAAAUGCAUACAACUGCCAACAUAUUGUUACGUUGCACAUUUUGGUGAUAAAAUUUACCAUGCAAAUUGCCAAACCGACUCUGUGAUAUGUUAUGGGUUACAGGGUGCAGCACAAUGGACAUUUAAGAACAAAAUCCUAAGGAGACCAUUUGGUAUAUCUGUCGACAAUGAUGGUAACGUAUACGUAGUAGGACAUGCAUCCACAAAUGUAGUAGUUAUAUCUGCCGAUGGACAAAAACACAAAGAAAUACUAACAGCAAUUGAUGGUCUUUCCAGUCCUUAUUCUCUUAAUUAUGAUAAAAGGACAAAUCAGUUGCUUAUUGCAAAUUGUCAGAAUACUGCAAUGAUUUUUUCUGUAGUUUCAAUAAAUAAAAUUUAACAUUAGAUAAAACAAAGACUUCCCUUAUGUAUUUUAAGUUAUUUCAUUGAAUUUGUUCAAAUUGGAUUUAAAAGAAAUAGUUUAUCCAUAAUUUGACACAUUAAAACAUAUGCUACAUUAACAAAUUAUCCAGUGAUCAGUGAAGGAUUGUAUUUUGAUAUUUGAAUUUGA